RNAcentral lists this long non-coding RNA (1067 nucleotides) under Bos taurus (domestic cattle). RNAcentral describes it as "long non-coding RNA NONBTAT031544". Lineage: Eukaryota; Metazoa; Chordata; Mammalia; Artiodactyla; Bovidae. The record is from RNAcentral.
UCAAAAUGAUCCAUGAGGCUGCUAUGAGGAUUACAUAUAUUGGCAUCUAAAAUGCUCAUAACAAUAUUUGGUUCAGAGUGUAGUAUGAUUCUAAAAUGUAGUUUUAUUAAACUUGCCAAGCAAGGAAGACCCAUGUUCAGAAACACAACCUUUCCAAAGAAAACCUGAAAAAAAUGUUUGACACAUUCUAGGAAAGCACAUCAGAUUUUGAAGAACUCUAUCAAAUAUAGGAGACAAUUCUGAAUGGCUUCUAGAUUCAAGCGAGAGUGUUUUAACAUACCUGACAUUCUGAUAUGUUCCAGGUUAAAGCUGGUUUGUUUUUAAUAUUGUUGAUAUGAUCUCAAAUAGUAAAAGAAGAGGCUUUCUAGAACUGCAUCCUUGCUGCUCACCAGCUGGAAUGCUGUGGAUAGUGCUCAAUAAACUUUACUUGUUAUUACUAUUGUUACUGUCGCUAUUUAAGUGAACAUUGCCACCUAUGCUUUUUUAUGUGGCCUUUGUGCCCAGUGACCUUGGGCAAGUUACUCAACAGCUUUCAACCUCCUUUUUCUCAUUAGCAGAUGGAGAUAAAACAAUACCUAUAUGAUCAAGUUAGAUUGCCAUGAAGGUUAGUAAUAAUAUACAUAAUUGCACUAUCAUGAAGGUUUUUCAUUAAUAAUUACCCUGUUUUGGCUCAAAUGACUAAAAUAUCUUUUGGAAAACACACCUGUCCCUGACUUGGCUUGUGGCCAGCCAGGCUUACCAGGUGGGAAAAUGUACUGUCAGAUAGGUACAGUAUCAGUUAAUGUUCAGUGUAAUAGUUCAUUUCUUGACUCAGCAGGAAGUGCUUGCAUAUUAUUGUUGUGGAAUAUUUCAGACUGCUACAGUUUCCAUUACAGAAGUCUCCCCCUUAUCUGUGGUUUUUCUUUGUCAUUUCAGUUAUCAAUUCAUGGGUCAAUUGUGCUCUGAAAAUAUUAAAAGGAAAUAAACAUUUCCAGAGAAAUAAACAUUUCAUAGGUUUUAAACUGCAAACUGAGUAGCAUAUUGAAAUAUCUGCCUUUUCGCUCCAUCCUGCCCCAGACAUGAAUUAG